This 368-nucleotide ribosomal RNA is filed under the name uncultured Desulfobulbus sp. RNAcentral's name for it is "bacterial SSU rRNA". It matches the Rfam family "Bacterial small subunit ribosomal RNA", at positions 1013 to 1382 of the family's 1533-position model. Lineage: Bacteria; Pseudomonadati; Thermodesulfobacteriota; Desulfobulbia; Desulfobulbales; Desulfobulbaceae. The record is from RNAcentral.
CCAUCUGGAAGAAUCUGGAGACAGGUGCUGCAUGGCUGUCGCAGCUCGUGUCGUGAGAUGUUGGGUUAAGUCCCGCAACGAGCGCAACCCUUGCCUUUAGUUGCCAGCAGUUCGGCUGGGCACUCUAAAGGGACUGCCGGUGUUAAACCGGAGGAAGGUGGGGAUGACGUCAAGUCCUCAUGGCCUUUAUGACCAGGGCUACACACGUACUACAAUGGCCGAUACAAAGGGCAGCGACACUGCGAGGUGAAGCCAAUCCCGUAAAAUCGGUCUCAGUCCGGAUUGGAGUCUGCAACUCGACUCCAUGGAGCUGGAAUCGCUAGUAAUCGCGCAUCAGCCAUGGCGCGGUGAAUACGUUCCCGGGCCUU